Molecule: long non-coding RNA, 1493 nt
Filed under: Callithrix jacchus (white-tufted-ear marmoset)
Lineage: Eukaryota; Metazoa; Chordata; Mammalia; Primates; Cebidae
Description: lncRNA (ENSCJAG00000080258.1)
Source: RNAcentral
AAAUUCUAUAAUUAGUAGUAUAUAUCAAAUUUAAAUAACAAAAUACAUACAUUUAUUUCUUUUUUAUCUUCCUAAUACUACAUGGCCAAUUUCACAUUCAACCAUGUCAGAAUUAUCUGUGACCAAAAUAUGCAGAGCCUCAAUUUGCAAUGGCUUGUAAAUAUAGGUGUACAUGUUGUGGGAUUAAUACUUUUCAUGCAUAGCAAAUCAGAACAAACAUAUUUUCUUCAGUCAUGUCAGACCCUGACAAUGUCAUAUUCACAUGCCCUUCACAACUAAGACCAAGACAUUCACAAUUUAUAAAGAGACUGAUUUGAUAAGUGACAGAAACUGACAAGCACCAGCUUCAGAUAUCAUUUUGGAGAUCCUGCAUUUAUGAUUUAUGUAAAAUUCGUAAAGUCAUGUAUCCAAAAUUACAUUUUUAGUAAUAGAAUGAUAGUAUGUGCAUUUUAUUAGAAACAGUAAAGAAAAUACUCCUAUUUACCUUUUCCCUACUUAAUAAUUUCCUAGUUAAUAAUUUAGACAUUUUGCAAUAUUUAUUAUAGUUUAAGCUUAUUAAAAUGACAAACGUAGUAAAGACACCUGAUUUGAAGAAGAAAAGAGGGGUACAAAAAGGUACCUUGGGAUCUGAUAGAGUUAGAACAGCUCCACUGAAGCUUAAGCAUCCAGUGUUGUCAGUGGAGAAUGGGACACAGAUUGCAGAUGCAGACAGAUUAUUGUUUGUUUCUAUUGAUUUCCCAGUGUUGCAAGAAAUGUGGCUAUAGAGUCAUUUGUGUUUUAUACUUCUUAUAUCAAAGUAAUGCUAUUCUAUAAAAUUCUCAAGCAUAUGGUAAUCAUAUUUUUAACAUAUAAUUUCUCUAUCUUUUGGCAUAAAAAAUAGCAUCAGAAAUGACAUAAGUCUUUACCCACUUUUAGGCAUUUUGGAAUCUUAAGCAGACCACUUAAUUAUCAGUGUGUGACAUCAUUCUUCCGUCAUUUGAUCCAUUAAUCAGCAUCUGUUUAUUGAAUGCCCACUGUAUGCCAGGUCUUAUGCUGAGGGUUUGGAGAUGUAGAGAUGAAUGCAUAAAUCCAGUUCCUGUUUUGCAGUGCUUACAAUCUAGAUACCACUAAUGGUGUGUGUGUGUGUGUGUGUGCGUGUGUAUAUAUAUAUAUAUACUCAGAUUUAACAUUAAUUAAAAGUGUCUUCUAUGUAUUCCCAAAGAACCAGCUGUAGGGAAGCAAAUCAAAGGAUCUUCUAUGUACACCAAACAUUGCAUGCCAUGAGAAAGAUGCUGUUCUUGACACAUCACAUAGCUUAAUCCCUUCAUAAACAGUAUAAAGCAGGCAUUACCAGUCUCAUUUCAUAAAUGAAUUAAGGUACCCAAAGUAAUUCCUCAGUGAUAAAGAGAGAUUUCACCUCCAAAACUCGGACUUCAAACACUGUGCCCUUUACAGCUUCUUUAUGUGUUACUUUGACAUAUUAAAAAAGUAAAAUUACAUAAUUUAAGAUUUAC